GAAAGAACUAACCAGGAUUCCCCUAGUAACUGCGAGUGAAGCGGGAAAAGCUCAAAUUUGAAAUCUGGCGGUCUUUGGCCGUCCGAGUUGUAGUCUGGAGAAGCGCUUUCCGCGCCGGACCCGUGUACAAGUCCUCUGGAACGGGGCCGUCGUAGAGGGUGAGAAUCCCGUCUUUGACACGGACCGCCGGUGCUUUGUGAUGCGCUCUCGAAGAGUCGAGUUGUUUGGGAAUGCAGCUCAAAACGGGUGGUGAAUUCCAUCUAAAGCUAAAUAUUGGCGAGAGACCGAUAGCGAACAAGUACCGUGAGGGAAAGAUGAAAAGCACUUUGGAAAGAGAGUUAAACAGUACGUGAAAUUGUUGAAAGGGAAACGCUUGAAGUCAGUCGCGUCGUCCGGGAUUAACCUUGCGAUCUCGCUCGGUGUACUUCCGGUCGACGGGCCAGCAUCGAUUUCGAUCGUCGGACAAAGCGGGGAAACGUGGACCCUUUACCGGUGUGUUAUAGUCCCUCGUCGGUAUACGGUGUCGGGAUCGAGGAACUCGGCACGCCCUUCGUGGUCGGGGCUUCGGCCCACGUCUCGUGCUUAGGAUGCUGGCGUAAUGGCUUUAAACGACCCGUCUUGAAACACGGACCAAGGAGUCUAACAUGCCCGCGAGUGUUCGGGUGGAAAACCCGUGCGCGUAAUGAAAGUGAAAGUUGGGACCUUCGAGAGGAGGGCACCGACGCCCGGACCAGACCUUCUGUGACGGAUCCGCGGUAGAGCGUGUAUGUUGGGACCCGAAAGAUGGUGAACUAUGCCUGAAUAGGGUGAAGCCAGAGGAAACUCUGGUGGAGGCUCGUAGCGAUUCUGACGUGCAAAUCGAUCGUCGAAUUGGGUAUAGGGGCGAAAGACUAAUCGACCAUCUAGU
RNAcentral lists this ribosomal RNA (907 nucleotides) under Xeroceps skamania. RNAcentral describes it as "eukaryotic LSU rRNA". It matches the Rfam family "Eukaryotic large subunit ribosomal RNA", at positions 56 to 948 of the family's 3401-position model. Lineage: Eukaryota; Fungi; Basidiomycota; Agaricomycetes; Russulales. The record is from RNAcentral.